This 468-nucleotide ribosomal RNA is filed under the name uncultured bacterium. RNAcentral describes it as "partial 16S ribosomal RNA". It matches the Rfam family "Bacterial small subunit ribosomal RNA", at positions 28 to 507 of the family's 1533-position model. The record is from RNAcentral.
GACGAACGCUGGCGGCGUGCUUAACACAUGCCAGCCGAACGGAAAGGCCCUGCUUUUGUGGGGUGCUCGAGUGGCGAACGGGUGAGUAACACGUGAGUAACCUGCCCUUGACUUUGGGAUAACUUCAGGAAACUGGGGCUAAUACCGGAUAGGAGCUCCUGCUGCAUGGUGGGGGUUGGAAAGUUUCGGCGGUUGGGGAUGGACUCGCGGCUUAUCAGCUUGUUGGUGGGGUAGUGGCUUACCAAGGCUUUGACGGGUAGCCGGCCUGAGAGGGUGACCGGCCACAUUGGGACUGAGAUACGGACCAGACUCCUACGGGAGGCAGCAGUGGGGAAUAUUGCACAAUGGGCGGAAGCCUGAUGCAGCAACGCCGCGUGCGGGAUGACGGCCUUCGGGUUGUAAACCGCUUUCGCCUGUGACGAAGCGUGAGUGACGGUAAUGGGUAAAGAAGCACCGGCUAACUACGUG